GAUGAAGAACGCAGCGAAAUGCGAUAAGUAAUGUGAAUUGCAGAAUUCAGUGAAUCAUCGAAUCUUUGAACGCACAUUGCGCCCGCCAGUAUUCUGGCGGGCAUGCCUGUUCGAGCGUCAUUUCAACCCUCAAGCCCCAGCGGCCUGGUGUUGGGGACCGGCGACCUCGCCCGAGCCCGCCCUCCGGGGCGCGUGCCCGGUGCGUCCGCCGCCCCCGAAAUGAAUUGGCGGCCUCGUCGCGGCCUCCUCUGCGUAGUAGCACAACCUCGCAAGCGGGAGCGCGACGCGGCCACUGCCGUAAAACGCCCAACUUUUUUAGAGUUGACCUCGGAUCAGGUAGGAAUACCCGCUGAACUUAAGCAUAUCAAUAAGCGGAUGA
RNAcentral lists this unclassified non-coding RNA (379 nucleotides) under soil metagenome. RNAcentral's name for it is "partial contains 5.8S ribosomal RNA, internal transcribed spacer 2, and large subunit ribosomal RNA". The stretch from base 1 to 120 matches the Rfam family "5.8S ribosomal RNA", at positions 35 to 154 of the family's 154-position model. The record is from RNAcentral.